Long non-coding RNA from Etheostoma spectabile (orangethroat darter), 161 nucleotides. RefSeq lists it as uncharacterized. The transcript has 3 exons. Lineage: Eukaryota; Metazoa; Chordata; Actinopteri; Perciformes; Percidae. The record is from RefSeq and is a predicted model, not a curated record.
UAUUGUAAUGCUCAGAGUAGGGCUGGACGAUAAAUCGAAAAUGUAUCGCCAUCAAAAUUCUGAAGUUGUUUUUCCCAUGAUGAUAAUUUAGAUAAUUUCGUCCUGUCGACAGACCUACUUUCUCCUAGAAAAACAUUCUACCACGUGAGUAGUUACGGGAC